This is a long non-coding RNA of Drosophila subpulchrella, 2289 nucleotides long. RefSeq lists it as uncharacterized. The record is from RefSeq and is a predicted model, not a curated record. The transcript is spliced from 3 exons. Lineage: Eukaryota; Metazoa; Arthropoda; Insecta; Diptera; Drosophilidae.
CACUUUUUUUUCUGUGCCACUCAAGUAGAACGAGGAGGGUAUGGGGUUCGAAGCCCGAUGCAAAUUUUGAACUAUGCUAAUUCCGAUGCUAAUACCCGAACACACACUAACACCGGAUUCAUUUGAGCGUAACAAGCGCGAAAAAAAACCCAAAAAUGAGAACGAAACAAUUAAGCUGAAAAGCUCCCAAUAUUUACGUAACAUAUUCCCCACUCUUGCGGCCGAUAAAAAGAAAGUUUUCACAUCGAAAUAUAUAUUUUAGCUGCAUUUGCAUUUCCAUUAAUAUUUAAAUUCAUAAGUUAUAUUCCAGCGAUUGCGUAAGCUGAAACGCAGUUAAAGUCCGCAAACCGGUUUUGCAAUCCACCCAAAACAACAGUAGAAAAUAAAAACAAUUAUUAUAACAAGUUAACUAACUGACAACACUUUCGCAGUAUGAAAAGUGGGUUCCCAUGCCUUGAAAGUCGCCUUAUUUUUUUGUUUUUCCCCUAUUUUUUAUUGCAGUUCAAAGUAGAGCAACAGCAACAGCAUUAGCAACUCGCGUGCUCAGCGCUCUGUAUCUGCGUUGGGAUCUGUUUUCCGAUCUAAUACCUUUUGUUCUAGCCCCCGAUUUCCACCCUUUUCCUCCCCAUUUCCGCAUACGAAUAGUGAGCAGAGAAUUAAAUCUGAUACUUUUUUCCCUCUGACACAGUGUGGAGAUACGAUGCUCAUGUAUUAUGUGCAUAAGCAGAUCCGACAGUCGACUUGGCCAACAAGUUGGGACCCAGAUAGCGCAGGUUCCCAACUGGGGACUCGGAUUUGGAGCAGCAGUUGGGGUCAGACAGCAAAGCAAGAGGAUAAGAUUAUAAUCUGUUGAGUUAUAAUCAACCGAACACAUAAGAAAAUACAAUCUAAGCUUUACUGCAAUUAAAAAAAACGUAGUUUAAUGUUGAGCCUUAACGUUUAAAGACCAUUGUGUUUGGUACCUAUUAAUACCUAUUUAAUAUUACAAAAUACAAAAAAUGGACUGUAAAAAUAAAUUAUGUGAAAAAACUCAAAAGGGCGGAGAAGUACGAUAAGAAAUGCGUAUCUGAAGAAAAACGAUCCCGAAACUUAAACCAAAUAUAAGAGCACCAAACAAAUGGCUGAGAAUACCGUGUUAGAAAACUAUGAAAUUGUACGCUUGAGUGGGCAAGGUGAGACCUAUUCAGAAUAUGAAGUCCCAGUUCGAUUUCCGAUUAUCAAAUCGAUGGUGAAGAGUGUGUGUUGAGUGAGUGGCCAAUAAAGAAUUACGUAUACGACCUGUGGCCGUGUGAUUUUCGAGUGAGCGUGUGUGGGUAUGCCUUCGUUCAUUUGGACUCGAGUGUACAAAUCGACAUCGACAGUAAUUGACCUUGCGUCUUUUCACGCGCUACACAUUUUCCAAAAGUUUGUUUUCGUUUUUCUUGUGCUUGCGCUGGUCGUUUUUCUUUUUUGGGUUAAACAACAAACUGCAGAUUUAAAUAGAACUUUUAUUGGGGGUGGUGUUAUAGUGAGAGUUUCAUGACUAACACUUGAACUUCACACCCAAUCACUUUAUCUUUCGUCUUUUUUCCUAACAAACUGCACAAUUGUGCAUUAAUGAGGCAAAGUGAGCCGGCUGUGAAGUAAUUCCAAUUGUUAUGCAAUCAAAAGUGACACAAAAGACUCAGUUCCUCCGUCUCCUUCACUUUCAAGCACGAUUGUUGGCAAUUUUAAUAAUUGAACACUCUUCUUUUUAAUAAGCUUCAGUGUAUAUAACUUUUAACAAUCACAUCUGUCGCAUUAUGGUGUCUAUAUCUUUAUUUGUAUCCGUCUCUGACAUUUAGAUUGCUUCACGCUCGAUUAAAUAAAGCUAUUGAAUAGGAGCUAUCUGUGGUCAGUACUUUUGAAAACGCCCCUUUCGGAUAAAGGGGGCGUAACGCCAGACUGUAGCACUUGAUAAAUUAUGGGGACCAUAUAACGUGAUAUAUACUGACAAACAUAUAAUGAAAAUGCUCAAAAGUCGCAAACUGCAGUGUCUGAUAUUUAAGCUACCCAUAUGUAAACAUGCCAUUUUUUGUUGUUCUUUUCCCUUCUUGAAGUCAGCCGCCCAAUGUUUCCACGUAUCUGUUAGGUUUUGAUACCUUCGCUUCGUAUUUCGAGCGGUUGGGAAUUAUUAAGAACUUGUCCACUCCCGAAAGCCGACACUAAAUUGAUUAUGUAUUGAUGGGAUCAGCAGUAAAAAGGAUAGGGAACAUUUAAUGAUUUCUGGAUGUUUACUGGAAUGGAAACCAAAGAACUUGUGGGAAUUGC